Molecule: ribosomal RNA, 740 nt
Filed under: Microbacterium sp. A8-2
Lineage: Bacteria; Bacillati; Actinomycetota; Actinomycetes; Micrococcales; Microbacteriaceae
Description: bacterial SSU rRNA
Rfam family: Bacterial small subunit ribosomal RNA
Source: RNAcentral
UCCACCCGGUAAACGUUGGGAACUAGUUGUGGGUCCAUCCCACGGAUUCCGUGACGCAGUUAACGCAUUUAAGUUCCCCGCUUGGGAAGUACGCCCGCAAGGUUAAAACUCAAAGGAAUUGACGGGGACCCGCACAAGCGGCGGAGCAUGGGAUUAAUUCGAUGCAACGGAAGACCCUUACCAAGGCUUGACAUAUACGAGAACGGGCCAGAAAUGGUCAACUCUUUGGACACUGGUAAACAGGUGGUGCAUGGUUGUCGUCAGCUCGUGUCGUGAGAUGUUGGGUUAAGUCCCGCAACGAGCGCAACCCUCGUUCUAUGUUGCCAGCACGUAAUGGUGGGAACUCAUGGGAUACUGCCGGGGUCAACUCGGAGGAAGGUGGGGAUGACGUCAAAUCAUCAUGCCCCUUAUGUCUUGGGCUUCACGCAUGCUACAAUGGCCGGUACAAAGGGCUGCAAUACCGCGAGGUGGAGCGAAUCCCAAAAAGCCGGUCCCAGUUCGGAUUGAGGUCUGCAACUCGACCUCAUGAAGUCGGAGUCGCUAGUAAUCGCAGAUCAGCAACGCUGCGGUGAAUACGUUCCCGGGUCUUGUACACACCGCCCGUCAAGUCAUGAAAGUCGGUAACACCUGAAGCCGGUGGCCUAACCCUUGUGGAGGGAGCCGUCGAAGGUGGGAUCGGUAAUUAGGACUAAGUCGUAACAAGGUAGCCGUACCGGAAGGUGCGGCUGGAUCACCUCCUU